This 762-nucleotide long non-coding RNA is filed under the name Felis catus (domestic cat). RNAcentral describes it as "lncRNA (ENSFCAG00000049317.1)". The record is from RNAcentral. Lineage: Eukaryota; Metazoa; Chordata; Mammalia; Carnivora; Felidae.
CUUUUAUGAUGUAAACUUGAAAUCUUAAAAUGAGAUAACAUUAAAAAUUGUCUUAGUUUUUUCCUUAGAGAAAAUGCGGUAGAAAUAAUAAUAUUAGGAUAUGAUGGAACACACUAUUCAAAUCUUUGUUAAAUCGCAUCGAUGAUGCGUCUCUCCCCAGGGUGUAUUUUCAACAGUGAUGGUGGAGGAUUCCAGAUUUAGCCACACAAUGUCAACUGGUUCCUUUCCUUACCAACAAGAAGGCAUACUCGGGCGAAAAUAAAGAAUGCUACAAGACAGACACCAUUAAGAAGAUGAGAAAUGAAGAAUUAGCUAAAGGUGGCAAAAUGGGAGAGAUAGGAAACGUACACGAGUCUGCCUGCCAGGAACCCAACCCAACCUACCCAGAAACCCCAAAUUGAUCAAGAAUCACAUAAUUUCAAAGCUUGGUCAGCGCAAUGAUUAUAAACUCUGUGAUUGAAUACAUGAAUACCUGAGUGAACGAAAUGGCUACAAAGAAGCCCCUGUUUUGCCAGUAAAGGUAGUCAAGGUAAGGAAAUGAGAUAUUCAGCUGAGAUCGGAACCCAUGUCUUUCUGACCCUAGAACACCUGCCUUAAAGCCACCAUGCUAUAUUUUCCCACUAGCUAAUAUAUCUUGGUUUUCUCCAAAGUCACUAAUGCAUAGGAAAAAAUGCUUUUAACUUCAUUUGUUGAUUUGAUAGUACUUAAAACAUACUUUUCUAAGGGGGCUAUUUAAGCAUUUGAGGAUGACCUUAAGCUAAC